Molecule: transfer RNA, 90 nt
Filed under: Deltaproteobacteria bacterium
Lineage: Bacteria; Pseudomonadati; Myxococcota; Myxococcia
Description: tRNA-Leu
Rfam family: tRNA
About the family: Transfer RNA (tRNA) molecules are approximately 80 nucleotides in length.
Source: RNAcentral
GCCGAGAUGGUGAAAUCUGGUCGACACACGGGACUUAAAAUCCCGGGGACCGAAAGGUCCGUGCCGGUUCAAUUCCGGCUCCCCGCACCA